This 72-nucleotide transfer RNA is filed under the name Kingella negevensis. RNAcentral's name for it is "tRNA-OTHER". It matches the Rfam family "tRNA". From Rfam's summary of the family: Transfer RNA (tRNA) molecules are approximately 80 nucleotides in length. Their secondary structure includes four short double-helical elements and three loops (D, anti-codon, and T loops). The record is from RNAcentral. Lineage: Bacteria; Pseudomonadati; Pseudomonadota; Betaproteobacteria; Neisseriales; Neisseriaceae.
GGGUUUGUAGCUCGGUUAGAGAAUACCGGCUUGAUAAGCGGGUCGUAGGUUCAAGUCCUACCAGACCCACCA